AGCGAACGCUGGCGGCAGGCUUAACACAUGCAAGUCGAGCGGGCAUAGCAAUAUGUCAGCGGCAGACGGGUGAGUAACGCGUGGGAACGUACCUUUUGGUUCGGAACAACUGAGGGAAACUUCAGCUAAUACCGGAUAAGCCCUUACGGGGAAAGAUUUAUCGAUGAAAGAUCGGCCCGCGUCGUGUAAGCGAGUUGGUGAGGUAAUGGCUCACCAAGGCGACGAUCAGUAGCUGGUCUGAGAGGAUGAUCAGCCACAUUGGGACUGAGACACGGCCCAAACUCCUACGGGAGGCAGCAGUGGGGAAUAUUGGACAAUGGGCGCAAGCCUGAUCCAGCCAUGCCGCGUGAGUGAUGAAGGCCCUAGGGUUGUAAAGCUCUUUUGUGCGGGAAGAUAAUGACGGUACCGCAAGAAUAAGCCCCGGCUAACUUCGUGCCAGCCGCCGCGGUAA
This 451-nucleotide ribosomal RNA is filed under the name uncultured bacterium. RNAcentral's name for it is "partial 16S ribosomal RNA". It matches the Rfam family "Bacterial small subunit ribosomal RNA", at positions 29 to 523 of the family's 1533-position model. The record is from RNAcentral.